RNAcentral lists this ribosomal RNA (590 nucleotides) under uncultured bacterium. RNAcentral's name for it is "bacterial SSU rRNA". The stretch from base 1 to 525 matches the Rfam family "Bacterial small subunit ribosomal RNA", at positions 338 to 873 of the family's 1533-position model. The record is from RNAcentral.
CCUACGGGAGGCAGCAGUGGGGAAUAUUGCACAAUGGGCGAAAGCCUGAUGCAGCGACGCCGCGUGAGGGAUGACGGCCUUCGGGUUGUAAACCUCUUUCAGCAGGGAAGAAGCGAAAGUGACGGUACCUGCAGAAGAAGCGCCGGCUAACUACGUGCCAGCAGCCGCGGUAAUACGUAGGGCGCAAGCGUUGUCCGGAAUUAUUGGGCGUAAAGAGCUCGUAGGCGGCUUGUCACGUCGGAUGUGAAAGCCCGAGGCUUAACCUCGGGUCUGCAUUCGAUACGGGCUAGCUAGAGUGUGGUAGGGGAGAUCGGAAUUCCUGGUGUAGCGGUGAAAUGCGCAGAUAUCAGGAGGAACACCGGUGGCGAAGGCGGAUCUCUGGGCCAUUACUGACGCUGAGGAGCGAAAGCGUGGGGAGCGAACAGGAUUAGAUACCCUGGUAGUCCACGCCGUAAACGUUGGGAACUAGGUGUUGGCGACAUUCCACGUCGUCGGUGCCGCAGCUAACGCAUUAAGUUCCCCGCCUGGGGNGACGCGCAGACAACACAAGAGAGAGCGNGNGAGACGCGACGACGACGACGACGGAGGAG